RNAcentral lists this microRNA precursor (87 nucleotides) under Callithrix jacchus (white-tufted-ear marmoset). RNAcentral describes it as "microRNA cja-mir-548o precursor (cja-mir-548o-2)". Its record names the gene cja-mir-548o-2. Lineage: Eukaryota; Metazoa; Chordata; Mammalia; Primates; Cebidae. The record is from miRBase by way of RNAcentral.
AGUAGAGGUUGGUGCAAAAGUAAUUGCGGUCUUUGCCGUUACUUUCAAUGAUAAAGGCCACUAUUACUUUUGCCCCAAACCUAUAUU